UUGGCAGGGUCGCGGAAUUGAAACAAAUCUCUAUGCUCAAUUUAAAUGUGAUUCCCUGAAGAUUGGAAUGGUGAAACAUCCUGAGGUUGCCCAGUUUCUUGGAGGACGACUCUACGACUGUGUCUUCAAAUACAAUGAAGUUUCGAGUUAAUGUUGAUUCGAUUCCUGUACUCUUAACAUAAUUAGUUCUGUGUUGAUCAUUUGAUAUACAUAGCAUUAGGUCAUAGCACCUGGAAACUUAAACCUAUCAAUUUUAAAAAUUUCGACCUUUUAAUUAUUAAUGAACUCCGAAAAUUAUUUGCA
Long non-coding RNA from Pistacia vera, 303 nucleotides. RefSeq lists it as uncharacterized. The record is from RefSeq and is a predicted model, not a curated record. The transcript has 2 exons. NCBI's taxonomy places the organism in Eukaryota, Viridiplantae, Streptophyta, Magnoliopsida, Sapindales, Anacardiaceae.